This 403-nucleotide ribosomal RNA is filed under the name uncultured Xanthobacter sp. RNAcentral describes it as "bacterial SSU rRNA". It matches the Rfam family "Bacterial small subunit ribosomal RNA", at positions 356 to 774 of the family's 1533-position model. The record is from RNAcentral. Lineage: Bacteria; Pseudomonadati; Pseudomonadota; Alphaproteobacteria; Hyphomicrobiales; Xanthobacteraceae.
GGGGAAUAUUGGACAAUGGGCGCAAGCCUGAUCCAGCCAUGCCGCGUGAGUGAUGAAGGCCUUAGGGUUGUAAAGCUCUUUCGCCGGUGAAGAUAAUGACGGUAACCGGAGAAGAAGCCCCGGCUAACUUCGUGCCAGCAGCCGCGGUAAUACGAAGGGGGGCUAGCGUGUGCUCGGAAUCACUGGGCGUAAAGCGCACGUAGGCGGAUCGUUAAGUCAGGGGUGAAAUCCUGGGGCUCAACCUCAGAACUGCCCUUGAUACUGGCGAUCUCGAGUUCGAGAGAGGUUGGUGGAACUCCGAGUGUAGAGGUGAAAUUCGUAGAUAUUCGGAAGAACACCAGUGGCGAAGGCGGCCAACUGGCUCGAUACUGCCGCUGAGGUGCGAAAGCGUGGGGAGCAAACA